GAUGGACGCUGGCGGCGUGCCUAAUACAUGCAAGUCGAGCGAACAGACGAGGAGCUUGCUCCUCUGACGUUAGCGGUGGACGGGUGAGUAACACGUGGAUAACCUACCUAUAAGACUGGGAUAACUUCGGGAAACCGGAGCUAAUACCGGAUAAUAUAUUGAACCGCAUGGUUCAAUAGUGAAAGACGGUUUUGCUGUCACUUAUAGAUGGAUCCGCGCCGCAUUAGCUAGUUGGUAAGGUAACGGCUUACCAAGGCAACGAUGCGUAGCCGACCUGAGAGGGUGAUCGGCCACACUGGAACUGAGACACGGUCCAGACUCCUACGGGAGGCAGCAGUAGGGAAUCUUCCGCAAUGGGCGAAAGCCUGACGGAGCAACGCCGCGUGAGUGAUGAAGGUCUUCGGAUCGUAAAACUCUGUUAUUAGGGAAGAACAAAUGUGUAAGUAACUAUGCACGUCUUGACGGUACCUAAUCAGAAAGCCACGGCUAACUACGUG
RNAcentral lists this ribosomal RNA (497 nucleotides) under uncultured bacterium. RNAcentral describes it as "partial 16S ribosomal RNA". It matches the Rfam family "Bacterial small subunit ribosomal RNA", at positions 28 to 507 of the family's 1533-position model. The record is from RNAcentral.